CAACCCUCGGGCCCGUCCCGGUGUUGGGGCUCUGUAGCAUACGACAGACCCCGAAAGACAGUGGCGGAGCCGCCUAGCUCUCAGCGUAGUAAUUCUUCUCGUUGUGGGGCGACGGCGGUUGCUUGCCGUUAAACAACCACUAUUUUAAUU
RNAcentral lists this unclassified non-coding RNA (150 nucleotides) under uncultured Sordariales. RNAcentral's name for it is "sequence contains ITS2". The record is from RNAcentral. Lineage: Eukaryota; Fungi; Ascomycota; Sordariomycetes; Sordariales.